This 997-nucleotide long non-coding RNA is filed under the name Cairina moschata (Muscovy duck). RNAcentral describes it as "domestica (muscovy Duck (domestic type)) lncRNA (ENSCMMG00000000252.1)". Lineage: Eukaryota; Metazoa; Chordata; Aves; Anseriformes; Anatidae. The record is from RNAcentral.
UUGCAUCUCCCAAUAAAAAGGCUUCAGACUGAGCCUGGUCCCGAAGCUGCUUCGGGGAGCCAAGGAGCAGCGAGGCUGCAGCCAGAUGCUGUCUGCAGCCAAGGCCCUGAGCAAUCCCUGAGCGCUGGCGACAAGCGGGGCAGCCAGCAGCCCCCCGAGGGUGCCGACCAGAGCCGCCAGCCACCUUUCUCCUGGAGCAGCUCAUAUUGUGGCUGGUUUGAGACGGGGCUGUGGUUAUGGCUGUUUGCUGCAUGGGGCCAUCGGCCUCGUCCGGGGGAGCCCCGAGACAUCGGUGCUGUGUUGUACCGAAAAACAGAGCCGAGGUUUUGUGGUGGCUGCUGGAGGAACUAUUUCAGGCUCUGCCUCCCCGUUCUGCUCUGUUUCACCCUAGCUCCUUUCCUCUCCUUGCUCUGUGCUUUCCUCACGCUGCGGGGUUUUUCCAGCCCUGCGCCCCCCUGGCACCCACCGGGGCAUCUCCCGACCCCUCGGCGAAGCACGAACUGGAGUCACUCCGAAUCAGGAGGGGAUCACUUCUGCCCCUUUUCCUGCCGAACUCCAGAAGCUGCCGCUGAUUUCAGCCAGACACCGGCGGGCGAGCGCGAAGGCAGAGGGACGGGAGGAGGCGCGUGGUGCCACACAUCAGCAGAGGCAGCUGCCGGAGGUGACCUUUUAAAUUGCUCCCAUAAAACCUGUUCAAGUGCCCCUGUCAGAGCCUUCAGACUUUUUAUAUGCUUUGCUAAGACCUUUUAUUUAAUGCUGUUAUGCUAAGGAAGCGGUAGGGCCCUUUGCUGUGUGCAGGAGGACUACGGAUGACAGUGUGUGAGCAGGGGAGCCUGUGAGCGCUCCAGCACCAUGACCCCCGCGUGCCCCAUCCCCGCCUGCCCACAGGGAUACUGUAGCCUGGUCACCACCCAGGAGGAGCUCUGCCCUCUCUGUUGCUCACCUAGCACCAUCAGCACAGUCCCAGCUGCUCCCACCACACCAUCUCUCUUCUGAG